Molecule: ribosomal RNA, 239 nt
Filed under: uncultured bacterium
Lineage: Bacteria
Description: partial 16S ribosomal RNA
Rfam family: Bacterial small subunit ribosomal RNA
Source: RNAcentral
CGGGCGGACGGGUGAGUAACGCGUGGGUAACCUACCCUGUACACACGGAUAACAUACCGAAAGGUAUGCUAAUACGGGAUAAUAUAUUUGAGAGGCAUCUCUUAAAUAUCAAAGGUGAGCCAGUACAGGAUGGACCCGCGUCUGAUUAGCUAGUUGGUAAGGUAACGGCUUACCAAGGCGACGAUCAGUAGCCGACCUGAGAGGGUGAUCAGCCACAUUGGAACUGAGACACGGUCCAA